Long non-coding RNA from Aegilops tauschii subsp. strangulata, 829 nucleotides. RefSeq lists it as uncharacterized. The record is from RefSeq and is a predicted model, not a curated record. NCBI's taxonomy places the organism in Eukaryota, Viridiplantae, Streptophyta, Magnoliopsida, Poales, Poaceae.
ACCAACAACUCACUCUCACUCCACUGCUCCCCGGGCGGCGCUCCCUUGCUCUGCUCUGCUCUCCACUCCCCGGCAACUGCAAGCCCUGUUGCUCCUCAUCUCCGCCUCGCCGGCCGGCAGCGCAGCGCAGCCCCCGCCGCCUCCCCCCACUCUCCCGUCAGCACGGUCCACGGCUCCCGGAUCUGAAGCAGCCGCACCGUGCUGCCGCCGCCCACAGCAACAGGUGGCAGCUAGCUAGGCGUCAGCGGCACCGGUCACCGGCGGCAAAGUCAGGCAGCGUACAUCACCGGCGAGAUUCAACCCAAGACAAUCCACAAGGGAAAGCUUUUGCAGCUACAGCAACCAAGAUUUACCUACAAUCACAUUUGAUUGGUUCCUUCCUGGAUAUGUAAGCUUUUCCAUUUGAAGCUAACCUAUACAAGCACUUCUAUCCUCAAGGAUUUAGUAUUUACUGAGUCCUGCGCUGCCGUACGAAGCAACCAGCAGCUGCAUCGAGAGGUUGAGAGAUGAGGGGGCUGAGUAGGAGGGACAGAGAAGAGCCUAUUAACGGAGAGCGGAUUUUCAGCGGACGAGCACCUUGGGAGUCCAAACAGUGUGAGCAAUUACUGAUAGGAUGCCGUCCACUCGUCCCACAUCCUUUCUCUUUCAUACUACUUCGUUCAAAUCUUCUGAUGUUUCUCAGUAAGUACUUCGUUCAAAGCUUAAAAUGGAGUUAAGUUAGUGGAUUUUGUUCACCCGCAAAAAAAAAAGUCUGCGGAUUUUGUUGUUGUGGCAAUGAUGCUAAUCUCAGUACUACAUAUUGGUUAAUGAACAUAUUUAAAUGUGGAGA